RNAcentral lists this ribosomal RNA (400 nucleotides) under uncultured bacterium. RNAcentral describes it as "bacterial SSU rRNA". It matches the Rfam family "Bacterial small subunit ribosomal RNA", at positions 355 to 746 of the family's 1533-position model. The record is from RNAcentral.
UAGGGAAUCUUCCGCAAUGGACGAAAGUCUGACGGAGCAACGCCGCGUGAGUGAUGAAGGUCUUCGGAUCGUAAAACUCUGUUGUCAGGGAAGAACAAGUGCCGUUUGAAUAAGGCGGCACCUUGACGGUACCUGACCAGAAAGCCACGGCUAACUACGUGCCAGCAGCCGCGGUAAUACGUAGGUGGCAAGCGUUGUCCGGAAUUAUUGGGCGUAAAGCGCUCGCAGGCGGUUCCUUAAGUCUGAUGUGAAAUCUUGCAGCUUAACUGCAAGCGGUCAUUGGAAACUGGGGGACUUGAGUACAGAAGAGGAGAGCGGAAUUCCACGUGUAGCGGUGAAAUGCGUAGAGAUGUGGAGGAACACCAGUGGCGAAGGCGGCUCUCUGGUCUGUAACUGACGC